CGUAACAAGGUUUCCGUAGGUGAACCUGCGGAAGGAUCAUUAUUAAAAAGUUAAUGGAGUGCACUUUAUUGUGGCUCUAUCUCUCUUUUUCCAAUUCACCCCAAAAAACCCAAAACUGUUAUGUGUACCAUUUAUUUUGGUAUAGCAUUCCAGUAGUACGCAUCAUGUGGAUUUUUAUUCACAAGUUGCAUUACCACCCCUUUAUAAGUGACCCUUUUUUAUUUUUUUAUUUAAUAAAAACAAUAAAUCUCUGAAAAGGUUUUAGGAAUGUAAACCCCCUUAAGUUAUAUAUAACUUUUAACAAUGGAUCUCUUGGCUCUCACAUCGAUGAAGAACACAGUGAAAUGUGAUAAGUAAUGUGAAUUGCAGAAUUCAGUGAAUCAUCGAAUCUUUGAACGCACCUUGCACCUUUUGGUUAUUCCGAAAGGUACGCCUGUUUGAGUGUCAUGAAAACCUCUCAUUCCAAUUCUUUAUAAAUUUUAAAUUAAAAUGAUAAAGGGUUGUGAUAUGGAUGUUGAGUGCUGCCGUUAUUUGGCUCACUUCAAAUUUAUAAGUACUUUUAUUGAAGAAAUAAAUGGAUAUUUACUCAGUGUAAUAUUAAUUAUUCAUUGAGGAGUGGAGUCAUUAUAACUUCAGCCAUUUGAAUAUUCAAUAAAUAGCUUCCCAACUUUCAAUUUAUUUUUUUCUCUUUUAGACCUCAAAUCAGGUGGGACUACCCGC
Molecule: ribosomal RNA, 720 nt
Filed under: Coleosporium zanthoxyli
Lineage: Eukaryota; Fungi; Basidiomycota; Pucciniomycetes; Pucciniales; Coleosporiaceae
Description: eukaryotic LSU rRNA
Rfam family: 5.8S ribosomal RNA (bases 293-447)
Source: RNAcentral